RNAcentral lists this ribosomal RNA (460 nucleotides) under uncultured bacterium. RNAcentral describes it as "partial 16S ribosomal RNA". It matches the Rfam family "Bacterial small subunit ribosomal RNA", at positions 338 to 795 of the family's 1533-position model. The record is from RNAcentral.
CCUACGGGCGGCAGCAGUGAGGAAUAUUGGUCAAUGGACGAGAGUCUGAACCAGCGAAGUAGCGUGAAGGAUGAAUGCCCUAUGGGUUGUAAGCUUCUUUUAUAAAGGAAUAAAACGAGGCACGUGUGCCUUUUUGCAUGUACUUUAUGAAUAAGGAUCGGCUAACUCCGUGCCAGCAGCCGCGGUAAUACGGAGGAUCCGAGCGUUAUCCGGAUUUAUUGGGUUUAAAGGUAGCGUAGAUGGGUUGUUAAGUCAGUUGUGAAAGUUUGCGGCUCAACCGUAAUAUUGCAAGUGAUACUGGCAGUCUUGAGUACAGUUGAGGUAGGCGUAAUUCGUGGUGUAGCGGUGAAAUGCUUAGAUAUCACGAAGAACCCCGAUUGCGAAGGCAGCAUACUAACCUGUGACUGACAUUGAUGCUCGAAAGUGUGGGUAUCAAACAGGAUUAGAUACCCCAGUAGUC